This 253-nucleotide ribosomal RNA is filed under the name uncultured bacterium. RNAcentral's name for it is "partial 16S ribosomal RNA". It matches the Rfam family "Bacterial small subunit ribosomal RNA", at positions 524 to 776 of the family's 1533-position model. The record is from RNAcentral.
UACGGGGGGGGCAAGCGUUGUUCGGAAUUACUGGGCGUAAAGGGCUCGUAGGCGGCCAACUAAGUCCGACGUGAAAUCCCCAGGCUUAACCUGGGAACUGCGUCGGAUACUGGAUGGCUUGAAUUCGGGAGAGGGAUGCAGAAUUCCAGGUGUAGCGGUGAAAUGCGUAGAUAUCGAGAGGAACAUCAGUGGCGAAGGCGGCUGCCUGGCCCAAUACUGACACUCAGGUGCGACAGCGUGGGGAGCAAACAGG